This 87-nucleotide transfer RNA is filed under the name Anaeromyxobacter diazotrophicus. It matches the Rfam family "tRNA". From Rfam's summary of the family: Transfer RNA (tRNA) molecules are approximately 80 nucleotides in length. Lineage: Bacteria; Pseudomonadati; Myxococcota; Myxococcia; Myxococcales; Anaeromyxobacteraceae. The record is from Rfam by way of RNAcentral.
GGAGAGGUGACCGAGCGGCCGAAGGUGCACGACUGGAAAUCGUGUGUCCGGGGAACCGGACCGUGGGUUCAAAUCCCACCCUCUCCG